Molecule: ribosomal RNA, 463 nt
Filed under: uncultured bacterium
Lineage: Bacteria
Description: partial 16S ribosomal RNA
Rfam family: Bacterial small subunit ribosomal RNA
Source: RNAcentral
GAUGAACGCUGACAGAAUGCUUAACACAUGCAAGUCGAUGGGGAAGGGGUGCUUGCACCAUGGUAGCCUUGGCGGACGGGUGAGUAACGCGUAAGGAACUUGCCUGCGGGACUGGGAUAACAGCAGGAAACUGCUGAUAAUACCGGAAAAGGUCAUUAAGCUGCAUAGCUUAGUGAUGAAAGGAGACGCCUGCGGAGAGCCUUGCGUCCUAUUAGCUAGUUGGAGGGGUAACGGCCCACCAAGGCGAAGAUAGGUAGCCGGCCUGAGAGGGUGGACGGCCACAAGGGGACUGAGAUACGGCCCUUACUCCUACGGGAGGCAGCAGUGGGGAAUAUUGGACGAUGGGGGCAAACCUGAGCCAGCAAUUCUGUGUGCACGAAGACGGUUUUCGGAUUGUAAAGUGCUUUCAGCAGGGAAGAAGGAAGUGACGGUACCUGCAGAAGAAGCGACGGCUAACUACGUG